CCGAUAGCGUAUAUUAAAGUUGCUGCAGUUAAAAAGCUCGUAGUUGAAUUUCGGGAUCAAUAUGUUGGUCGUGCCUCGGUACGUACUGGCUUAUUGGUUUCUCCCUUCUGACGAACCAUGAUGUCAUUUAUUUGGUGUUAUGAGGAAUCAGGACUGUUACUUUGAAAAAAUUAGAGUGUUUAAAGCAGGCUCACGCUUGAAUACAUUAGCAUGGAAUAAUGAAAUAGGACGUUUGAUUCUAUUUUGUUGGUUUCUAGGAUCGACGUAAUGAUUAAUAGGGAUAGUUGGGGGCAUUAGUAUUCAAUUGUCAGAGGUGAAAUUCUUGGAUUUAUUGAAGACUAACUACUGCGAAAGCAUUUGCCAAGGAUGUUUUCAUUAAUCAAGAACGAAAGUUAGGGGAUCGAAGACGAUCAGAUACCGUCGUAGUCUUAACCAUAAACUACGCCGACUAGGGAUCGGAUGAUGUUAAUUUUUUAAUGACUCAUUCGGCGCCUUACG
This 498-nucleotide ribosomal RNA is filed under the name uncultured Glomeromycotina. RNAcentral describes it as "partial small subunit ribosomal RNA". It matches the Rfam family "Eukaryotic small subunit ribosomal RNA", at positions 591 to 1092 of the family's 1831-position model. The record is from RNAcentral. Lineage: Eukaryota; Fungi; Glomeromycota.